RNAcentral lists this ribosomal RNA (387 nucleotides) under uncultured bacterium. RNAcentral's name for it is "bacterial SSU rRNA". It matches the Rfam family "Bacterial small subunit ribosomal RNA", at positions 87 to 507 of the family's 1533-position model. The record is from RNAcentral.
UGGAUCUAGUGGCGCACGAGUGAGUAACGCGUGGGAAACUGCCCACUACUGGGGAAUAACGUUUGGAAACGAACGCUAAUACCGCAUACGCCGGAAACGGGAAAGAUUUAUCGGUGGUGGAUGUGCCCGCGUUGGAUUAGCUUGUUGGUGGGGUAACGGCCUACCAAGGCGAUGAUCCAUAGCUGGUCUGAGAGGACGAUCAGCCACGCUGGAACUGAGACACGGUCCAGACUCCUACGGGAGGCAGCAGCUAAGAAUAUUGGGCAAUGGAAGGAAACUCUGACCCAGCCAUGCCGCGUGAAUGAAAGAAGGCCUUCGGGUUGUAAAGUUCUUUUAGUAGUGAAGAUGAUGACAGUAGCUACAGAAAAAGCACCGGCUAACUUCGUG